Molecule: ribosomal RNA, 417 nt
Filed under: uncultured eukaryote
Lineage: Eukaryota
Description: bacterial SSU rRNA
Rfam family: Eukaryotic small subunit ribosomal RNA
Source: RNAcentral
CAAUAGCGUAUAUUAAAGUUGUUGCAGUUAAAAAGCUCGUAGUUGGACUUCUGAUUCGAAAGAUCGGUCCGCCGCAAGGCGAGCACUGAUUCUUCGAGUCUUCCUCUCGUAGUUGUUUGGCGCACUUGAUUGGGUGCCAGAUGAAUAUGGGACCUUUACUUUGAAAAAUUAGAGUGUUCAAAGCAGGCAAUCGCUUGAAUACAUUAGCAUGGAAUAAUGGAAAAGGACUUCAACCUCUUCUGUUGGUCUGAGAGGCUGUAGUAAUGAUUAAUAGGGAUAGUUGGGGGCAUUAGUACUUAACUGUCAGAGGUGAAAUUCUCCGAUUUGUUAAAGACUAACUUAUGCGAAAGCAUUUGCCAAGGAUGUUUUCAUUAAUCAAGAACGAAAGUUAGGGGAUCAAAGACGAUCAGAUACCAU